AAGAAAGUUAGCUACUCAAGUACUCCUAAUGGCGCUUACCAAGAACAGCGAGCAUGCUAUGUGCCUAUUGGCUCUUGUUGUCAUGUCUACCACUUCCCCGCCCUCUCUUGUAGAAGGAAGGAUCAUGGGUACAUUUCUUUCGUCUUCUUUUCUCUUAAUAUGUUCAUACACAUUUGGAUGUUAGUAACUGGGAAGUUAUCCAGAUAGCUUCGGAUGGAAAAGUGUUCAGCAUGAAAGUUGUGUAUCAUCAAAACGUUCAACUUUGGUUUUGGGGUCAUCAUCAUCUGAGAUAGUAUACGGCCUGCAAAUUCACUAAAAGACUCGGACAGUCCAGUCAGCUGCAUGACCAAGUCCGACUGGAAGUUAAAGAUGGCUUCGUAGAGUAUUCAAGAUGGCCUUUUUGGAAAGGGUCUUUUACAUUUGUGUCCCUAACUCGAACUCACUACUCACAUUUGCCCCUAAUUUGAAAGCCUGCUCAAAAAUGCCCCUCCGCCGUUAGGUGCCCUUAUAGAAAUGCCCUUCCGUGCCGUUUCCGUCAGGUCAAAGGCCUUUGACUGUCUACCGGACGUUUCCUGAACAUUUUGCCCCUGCCUCCAUGUGUCGCUUACAUGUGGGGCCCACUCAGAGAAAAAAUAAAAAGAAAAAACAUUUUCUCUCACCCCCUCUCUCUCACUUACAUAUGGGCCAACUAACAAAAUGAAAAAUAAAACUUGAUAUUGGUCAGUCAUUGUUUUAUUAUUUUCUGAAAUGUUAUUUAUAGGGUGUUUAUUUCCAAGGACUUAUUGGUUUAGGGACUUAAAAAAGUCCCUAUAACUCCCAUCUAAACGAAACAUGAGGGACUUAUAGAGACUUAAAGUGGGCAUUUGGGACUUAUGAAAUAAGACUCUCAAGGAGAGUCUUAUAGGGACUUAUAGUUGUAAUAUGGUCUUUUAGUCCAUGUUAAGGCCAAGGAACCAAACAAGUAGAGACUUAUUAGGGACUUGGGACUUAUAAGUUGGGACUAAAAAAAGUCCUAGGACUUAUGGACCAAACAUGGCCUUACUGACUUAUUUGAGGGCUGGACCCACUAGUCAGCUUUUGUAAAACGAGUGUAAUGAGAACUAAUAAUAGUUUAGGAUAAUCUGGGAUUAGGCUAACUAAAAACACGCCGGCGCCAGUGCACGAAGACACGAUAGCGAUGUACGGGAGGACGCCGGAGCAGUCGAGUGGUUGCAAGACCGCGCUUGUGAGGGUGAGGGAGAGAAGCUUCAGUGGCCUGAGGUGGCCAGAGAAUGUGGGGUGCCGGGGAGGAUGGGA
Molecule: long non-coding RNA, 1296 nt
Filed under: Triticum aestivum (bread wheat)
Lineage: Eukaryota; Viridiplantae; Streptophyta; Magnoliopsida; Poales; Poaceae
Description: long non-coding RNA (TAES_LNC018936)
Source: RNAcentral